This 253-nucleotide ribosomal RNA is filed under the name uncultured bacterium. RNAcentral's name for it is "partial 16S ribosomal RNA". It matches the Rfam family "Bacterial small subunit ribosomal RNA", at positions 524 to 776 of the family's 1533-position model. The record is from RNAcentral.
UACGAAGGGGGCUAGCGUUGCUCGGAAUCACUGGGCGUAAAGCGCACGUAGGCGGGUCUUUAAGUCAGGGGUGAAAUCCUGGAGCUCAACUCCAGAACUGCCUUUGAUACUGAAGAUCUUGAGUUCGGGAGAGGUGAGUGGAACUGCGAGUGUAGAGGUGAAAUUCGUAGAUAUUCGCAAGAACACCAGUGGCGAAGGCGGCUCACUGGCCCGAUACUGACGCUGAGGCACGAAAGCGUGGGGAGCAAACAGG